This 365-nucleotide unclassified non-coding RNA is filed under the name Hevea brasiliensis (rubber tree). Lineage: Eukaryota; Viridiplantae; Streptophyta; Magnoliopsida; Malpighiales; Euphorbiaceae. The record is from RNAcentral.
AAAUAUUGAAACUAGGCCACCAACAAGAGCUCUCAAAAGAGCCCUUCUGACUGCUCUGAGAUGUGUUGAUCCAGAUUCUGACAAGAGACCAAAGAUGAGCCAAGUUGUUCGUAUGCUUGAAUCAGAGGAAUAUCCCAUACCAAGAGAGGAUCGAAGGCAACGAAGAUCUCAAGCAGGUAACGGGGAGAGUGAUUCUCAAAACUAUGACACUGACAAGAGUGACAACCCAGAUCCAAGGUCUGAAAGUAGAAGAAGCCAUCAAGUAUAACCAUCAAAGACACAUCUUUCUGGUCUUUCAUGAGAAGUGUGCCAUAACAAAGCUUUCAUUAUAAUGAAAGUCUACGGGAUCAAAUGAGUAGGACGAU